Molecule: non-coding RNA, 238 nt
Organism: Cinara cedri
Lineage: Eukaryota; Metazoa; Arthropoda; Insecta; Hemiptera; Aphididae
Source: the annotation of a GenBank genome assembly
GUGAAAAAUUAAAUACAACUCGCCAAAUAAUGUUGUUAACUAUUGUAGUAUGAAAUAUCAAAGUAAUUUACACAAAAAAUUCAGAAUAAUAAUACAAAUUGGUAAUGUGAAAAUCGCUUUUAAGACUAAUAAAUAAUAAUAAUUCAAUCAAACAUAUAAACAAUAGAACUGAAAACUACAAAAAAUUCCCAUUCUUUUUAUAUAAACUUAAAUGUUACUGUAAUAAAUUGUAUAUAGG